UGUGGGAGCGAGCUUGCUCGCGAAAGCGUUUUGUCAGUCGCCAGUGAGGUUGACUGAUCUACCGCAUUCGCGAGCAAGCUCGCUCCCACA
RNAcentral lists this non-coding RNA (90 nucleotides) under Pseudomonas sp. 29. The record is from RNAcentral. Lineage: Bacteria; Pseudomonadati; Pseudomonadota; Gammaproteobacteria; Pseudomonadales; Pseudomonadaceae.